This 292-nucleotide ribosomal RNA is filed under the name uncultured bacterium. RNAcentral describes it as "partial 16S ribosomal RNA". It matches the Rfam family "Bacterial small subunit ribosomal RNA", at positions 505 to 796 of the family's 1533-position model. The record is from RNAcentral.
GUGUCAGCAGCCGCGGUAAGACAGAGGAUGCAAGCGUUAUCCGGAAUGAUUGGGCGUAAAGCGUCUGUAGGUGGCUUUCAAAGUCUCCUGUCAAAGAUCAGGGCUUAACCCUGGACCGGCAGGAGAAACUUGAAGGCUAGAGUUUGGUAGGGGCAGAGGGAAUUCCCGGUGGAGCGGUGAAAUGCGUAGAGAUCGGGAGGAACACCAAAGGCGAAAGCACUCUGCUGGGCCACAACUGACACUGAGAGACGAAAGCGAGGGGAGCAAAAGGGAUUAGAUACCCCUGUAGUCC